AACAGGACAAGAAGCUCAACAAAGGCCCAGAGCUGCCACUAUUACAAGGCAGCAAAUGGCAGUGAAAAGCAGGAUUUCCUUGACCCUUUUGCUCUGCUCUCACUCCCUGUGCUCCAUUUCAGGCAGCGGCCAAGCCGUGUCCUGACUCAGCUGCCCUGCACACUGCUGCACCUGCUCAUGAGCAUUCAUACCCAUGUGAUUAGCCAGGGCCGUGGCCUGGGGGAGGUGCAUGCUGCACUCACCAAUGGCCCAGGCUGCAGUACUGGCUGCUCAUGACAGAAGAAGGGACUGGCAAGUGGUGAAACUGGAAUGCACCACUUUUAGUUGUUGGGAAGACAAAUGUCUGUGAGCUGAUACAAGAGAAGCAAUCUGCUUGAAACAGUCUCAUCAGAAAAGUUGUACAGGCAGAUGGGGACAUUCAAGAAGUCAGCUGAGAGAGACACGUGUGAAGUUCAGGGACAUCACCAAACAGACCAACAUGAGAAGAAUACAGACUUUUGUACAUAUUUAAAGAGGCUGUUAAAGGAGAUCAUCUACAAUUGUUUGCUUAACCAGAUGAACUGUACAUCCAGUGGAUUGAACUCCCUAAUGUAUGCAUCUCAUUAUAAUUCCCAAGGCACUGGUCCAACAUGCUUAACAGAGGAAAACAAAACAAAACAAAACAAAAACAACUAACCACAAAUCAUUAUUUAGUCUUGUAAGUUUAUAUUUGCUAGGUGUUGAAAAUGACCUAAACAGAAAGAAGACAAGUCAAAUGCUAAGGCUAUGCUCAAUAAAGGUCAGGAGAGAGAUGUUAGUCCA
This 801-nucleotide long non-coding RNA is filed under the name Numida meleagris (helmeted guineafowl). Its description in RNAcentral is "lncRNA (ENSNMEG00000010541.1)". Lineage: Eukaryota; Metazoa; Chordata; Aves; Galliformes; Numididae. The record is from RNAcentral.